UGCACGCUAUGACCGAGCUCAGAAUACGCUUUACAGUACAGGAACUAGUUAUGCAGGCUAGGGAGUCGCUUUUUCAGACUUGAUAAUGAAAGGUGAUGAACGCUGGCCUACUGGCUUAACACAUGCAUUUCUAGGGGAAACGACAUCUAAAGCUUGCUUUUGAUGGGCGUCGACCGGCGCACGGGUGAGUAACGCGUAUCCAACCUGCCCACCACUUGGGGAUAACCUUGCUAAAGUAAGACUAAUACCCAAUGACGUCUCUAGAAGACAUCUGAAAGAGAUUAAAGAUUUAUCGGUGAUGGAUGGGGAUGCGUCUGAUUACCUUGUUGGCGGGGUAACGGCCCACCAAGGCAACGAUCAGUAGGGGUUCUGAGACGAAGGUCCCCCACAUUGGAACUGAGACACGGUCCAAACUCCUACGGGAGGCAGCAGUGAGGAAUAUUGGUCAAUGGACGAGAGUCUGAACCAGCCAAGUAGCGUGCAGGAUGACGGCCCUAUGGGUUGUAAACUGCUUUUAUAAGGGAAUAAAGUGAGUCUCGUGAGACUUUUUGCAUGUACCUUAUGAGUAAGGACCGGCUAAUUCCGUGCCAGCAGCCGCGGUAAUACGGAAGGUCCGGGCGUUAUCCGGAUUUAUUGGGUUUAAAGGGAGCGUAGGCCGGAGAUUAAGCGUGUUGUGAAAUGUAGACGCUCAGCGUCUGCACUGCAGCGCGAACUGGUUUCCUUGAGUACGCACAAAGUGGGCGGAAUUCGUGGUGUAGCGGUGGAAUGCUUAGAUAUCACGAAGAACUCCGAUUGCGAAGGCAGCUCACUGGAGCGCAACUGACGCUGAAGCUCGAAAGUGCGGGUAUCGAACAGGAUUAGAUACCCUGGUAGUCCGCACGGUAAACGAUGGAUGCCCGCGGUUCGUUGAAUCUCGCGG
Molecule: ribosomal RNA, 919 nt
Filed under: uncultured bacterium
Lineage: Bacteria
Description: bacterial SSU rRNA
Rfam family: Bacterial small subunit ribosomal RNA
Source: RNAcentral